Molecule: ribosomal RNA, 616 nt
Filed under: Staphylococcus epidermidis
Lineage: Bacteria; Bacillati; Bacillota; Bacilli; Caryophanales; Staphylococcaceae
Description: bacterial SSU rRNA
Rfam family: Bacterial small subunit ribosomal RNA
Source: RNAcentral
GGAGCUUGCUCCUCUGACGUUAGCGGCGGACGGGUGAGUAACACGUGGAUAACCUACCUAUAAGACUGGGAUAACUUCGGGAAACCGGAGCUAAUACCGGAUAAUAUAUUGAACCGCAUGGUUCAAUAGUGAAAGACGGUUUUGCUGUCACUUAUAGAUGGAUCCGCGCCGCAUUAGCUAGUUGGUAAGGUAACGGCUUACCAAGGCAACGAUGCGUAGCCGACCUGAGAGGGUGAUCGGCCACACUGGAACUGAGACACGGUCCAGACUCCUACGGGAGGCAGCAGUAGGGAAUCUUCCGCAAUGGGCGAAAGCCUGACGGAGCAACGCCGCGUGAGUGAUGAAGGUCUUCGGAUCGUAAAACUCUGUUAUUAGGGAAGAACAAAUGUGUAAGUAACUAUGCACGUCUUGACGGUACCUAAUCAGAAAGCCACGGCUAACUACGUGCCAGCAGCCGCGGUAAUACGUAGGUGGCAAGCGUUAUCCGGAAUUAUUGGGCGUAAAGCGCGCGUAGGCGGUUUUUUAAGUCUGAUGUGAAAGCCCACGGCUCAACCGUGGAGGGUCAUUGGAAACUGGAAAACUUGAGUGCAGAAGAGGAAAGUGGAAUUCCAUGGGU